Molecule: ribosomal RNA, 501 nt
Filed under: uncultured bacterium
Lineage: Bacteria
Description: partial 16S ribosomal RNA
Rfam family: Bacterial small subunit ribosomal RNA
Source: RNAcentral
AUUGAACGCUGGCGGCAUGCCUUACACAUGCAAGUCGAACGGCAGCACGGGUGCUUGCACCUGGUGGCGAGUGGCGAACGGGUGAGUAAUACAUCGGAACGUACCUUAUCGUGGGGGAUAACGCAGCGAAAGUUGCGCUAAUACCGCAUACGCCCUGAGGGGGAAAGCGGGGGACCGUAAGGCCUCGCGCGAUUAGAGCGGCCGAUGUCUGAUUAGCUUGUUGGUGAGGUAAAAGCUCACCAAGGCGAUGAUCAGUAGCUGGUCUGAGAGGACGAUCAGCCACACUGGGACUGAGACACGGCCCAGACUCCUACGGGAGGCAGCAGUGGGGAAUUUUGGACAGUGGGGGCAACCCUGAUCCAGCAAUGCCGCGUGAGUGAAGAAGGCCUUCGGGUUGUAAAGCUCUUUUGUCAGGGGAGAAACAGCAGCUCUAACACAGUCUGCGAAUGACGGUACCUGAAGAAUAAGCACCGGCUAACUACGUGCCAGCCGCCGCGGUAA